UUUCUCUUCGUUAACACAGGCGUUCUAUCGCCGUGCCCGUGACUCUUGGGAUCUCAAACCCCGACCAACGCCUCUGUAACGUCUUCAGAUUUUGGCUAGAAGAUACAUUUAUCCAAGCAUUAACAACGUCCCAUCCACUCCUCCUACUCUUUCACAUUAACUCGGCAUUAUCAUCCGCCAAGCUAAACCGUUCAAAGUACCUACUAUACAAAUGUUCCUUCUUGGACAGACGCACUGCAACAAAAUCCCAAAGGUCAAUCACUAUUAAGCAACAAUUCUAUCAAUGCCGAAUCCUUACACUCUUCAUGCCGAUUUGAAGGUUGAUUGCUGCUCAAUCACCGCCGAGGUCCGCCUUCUCGGAAGAUCCCUGAGGAAGCUAGAGAGCUUGAAAAACAACUCAGACAGACUUUGAGAAGGUACCGUGUGGAGUUGACCAUUUCAGAUGAAACCGAGGAGGCUGUCUUCCGUAGCUUUUGAUUCUGAGAUGAUCAAGCUGACUAACGUCCGCUCAUCCGAAGUUGGGCAGGGUGGAGGUUUUUCUUAGCAGUAGGAUAACAUGUUCAGGGUGGAGGUUUUUCUUAGCAGCAGGAUAACGAAUUCCCACCUUUAAUCACUGAGAUAAUCGGGAAUGCUUACACUUUUCAGCUGAAGUUGUAUGGGUUUAAUUUUACAUCAAAGCAUGAGACCUUAGCGUCAACAGGCCCCAAAUCCUGAUUUUGGUGUUUAUGUAAAUUUUUCGUAAUUGGAAUAUACACUAAUGCGCUGACUGGUUAAGCGUUUCCAAAUCUCUUUAGCAGGGAGGAGGUGAUGGGCCCAAAGACAAUAUGCAUGGAGUCAGCUCACUUUCCUCAGCUUCUGCAAAUCUAGGUAACAACAAUGCGAAGGAGACACCGAGACUUACAGACUCUGCACUGGGGAACCUCCCUGAAGUGGAUGGCUUCAUAUCCCAGAAUCCAAAGCUCAAAUUGAGCAUGCUGCUAAGAAGGUUUAUUUUAUCAUGUUGCUGUCGUUUUUUUUAAUCUAAUAAUGCUUUACGUUAUUCCAUUUUCAAACUAUUGCGUAUGUUGGUUUAGUUCUUUGCACUACCAAUAUAAGAUUUUUUUUUUUGAUCAAGCACUACUAAUAUAAGAAUAUUUCGAAGUAUUUAUCCUUUAAGACAACCCACCACGGGCA
Brassica oleracea var. oleracea is the source of this 1173-nucleotide RNA transcript. RefSeq lists it as uncharacterized. The transcript has 4 exons. The record is from RefSeq and is a predicted model, not a curated record. Lineage: Eukaryota; Viridiplantae; Streptophyta; Magnoliopsida; Brassicales; Brassicaceae.